UCAGAGAGGGGAUGUGACUUGCCCAAGGCCACGUCUCUAGAAAGGGGUGGCAAUGAGGUUUGCCUCCCAGACGCCUCUGCGGUUCCUCUCUCCCCACACUGCCCGUCGGCAGAAUGAAGGGCCCAGCUACGAGGCCAAGCUGUAGGUUAGGAGUAACUGUUUCUUAAGAAAGUCCAGGCCGGACGCGGUGGCUGACGCCUGUAAUCCCAGCACUUUUGGAGGCCGAGGCGGGCAGAUCACUUGAGAGCGACUCUUCACGGCUUCUCCUCUUCCCCGGUGACGAUGACAGCCAGCGAUGGGCCGACAGCCUACUCUCAACCUGGCCUGGGUCUGGUGGCCCCAGCGUGAGAUCACCAUAGUGAGCAACCUGGUCUCCAUAGCAACCAGCUGUGACAUCACAAGGAACCCAUGGACCCUGGAGCUGGAAGAGAGGAAGCUUGAAUGCCUGUUUGGGGAAGAAAGCCUUUGCUCCCCCUCCUUCGGCCUCUCCUGUGAUAGGGGAAGAGGACAUAGAAACGCUGAGAGAGCCAGGGCCUCCGCUUCUCUGGAGGUUUGAGCGGGGUCUACUCGAAAUCCUUCCCUUCCUCUCUUUGUCCCCGUUCUCCUCAUCCCUCAAAAAAUAUGUAUCUCAUUUUCCUCAACUGUAAAAUGGGGACAUUAGAAGCCGCUCUUGAGUGUUUAUUAUAUGCCAGGCACUAUUAUAAGCAUCUUGCAUGGAUUUUCUCAUUUACUUCAUAACAACCCUAUAAAGUACUUUCUUCUUAGUAUUCCCCCUUCUGUAAGUGGAGGGAAAGGAAGCACAGCAGAAGGAUUGGAAUCAAGACAGCCUGGCUCCAGAGCCUGUUUUCAUAACUACGAGAGAAUGCACCAGAUUCCUUCUGAACGCCGCCUGCCACGUGCGCGGCUACAACUCUAUUUCCAGCCAUGCUGUGGCAAGCAGUUCCGGGCGGGCUUCAGCUCCCUUUGCACCACCAGCACCUCGCCUCCUGUCAGCAUGAGGCGGUUUUCAUUUUCUGCCCGGGGGCUUCCGCAGCACCCCAACACAAGGCUGGUAGGAGCGGGCUCAGCGGGAGGACUUGUGGAGGGAAGUUGCUUCCACUGAGCCAGCCUCAACCUGGGGUGCACAGGCGCCACCGGGUGAAUGCUUCUGCCAGGCGGUCAUCUGGCCCACAAGGUCCCUCUGUGCACUGCUUGGAAGGUCCUCUGUGCACUGCUUGGAAGGUCCUGGCAGCGCUGAGUCCCAGACACCCAUGGCAUGACCUAAUAAUGCACCGUUAUCUUGGCUCUUCUGCUUUCUCUUUUUUCCCAUUGGUAUUUGUCCCUCAUUUCUGGUCCCUAGAAUGACUUCCAAAAUAAAUUCCCUAUACACAA
Molecule: non-coding RNA, 1371 nt
Organism: Macaca mulatta (Rhesus monkey)
Lineage: Eukaryota; Metazoa; Chordata; Mammalia; Primates; Cercopithecidae
Source: RefSeq, a predicted model, not a curated record